RNAcentral lists this non-coding RNA (92 nucleotides) under human gut metagenome. Its description in RNAcentral is "TPP riboswitch (THI element)". It matches the Rfam family "TPP riboswitch aptamer (THI element)", at positions 8 to 91 of the family's 105-position model. From Rfam's summary of the family: Vitamin B(1) in its active form thiamin pyrophosphate (TPP) is an essential coenzyme that is synthesised by coupling of pyrimidine and thiazole moieties in bacteria. The previously detected thiamin-regulatory element, thi box was extended, resulting in a new, highly conserved RNA secondary structure, the THI element, which is widely distributed in eubacteria and also occurs in some archaea. The record is from RNAcentral.
CGCUAGGGGCGCCUUUACUGGCUGAGAAUGGCGGCAUUCGCCUGACCCUCAUCACUUGAUCCGGAUUAUACCGGCGUAAGGAAGCAUAAUAC